AAUAUUGGACAAUGGGCGAAAGCCUGAUCCAGCCAUCCCGCGUGCAGGAUGAAGGCCCUCUGGGUUGUAAACUGCUUUUAUUAGGGAAGAAACCCUUGGAUUCACUCCGAGGCUGACGGUACCUAAUGAAUAAGCACCGGCGAACUCCGUCCCAGCAGCCGCGGUAAUACGGCGGGUGCAAGCGUUAUCCGGAUUUACUGGGUUUAAAGGGUGCGUAGGCGGAUUUGUAAGUCAGUGGUGAAAGCCUGGAGCUUAACUCUGGAACUGCCAUUGAUACUGCAUAUCUUGAGUACAGUUGAGGUGGGCGGAAUGCAGCAUGUAGCGGUGAAAUGCUUAGAUAUGCUGCAGAACACCGAUUGCGAAGGCAGCUCGCUAAACUGUAACUGACGCUGAGGCACGAAAGCGUGGGGAGCGAACAGG
This 420-nucleotide ribosomal RNA is filed under the name uncultured bacterium. RNAcentral's name for it is "bacterial SSU rRNA". It matches the Rfam family "Bacterial small subunit ribosomal RNA", at positions 360 to 776 of the family's 1533-position model. The record is from RNAcentral.